GAUGAACGCUGGCGGUGUGCCUAAUACAUGCAAGUCGAACGAACAGACAAUGAGCUUGCUCUCUUGACGUUAGCGGCGGACGGGUGAGUAACAAGUACAUAACCUACUUCUAAGUCUUGGAUAACAACGGAAAAACGGUGAUACUACUGGCUCAUAUAUUCUACCGCAUAGUUCAAUAGUGAAUCACGGCUUUGCCGCCUCAAUUAGCUGAAUCCGGGCUGCAUUAGCUAGUUGGUAAGGUAACGGCUUUCCAAGGCAACGAAGCGUAGCUGAGCUGAGAGGGUGAUCGGCCACACUGGAACUGAGACACGGUCCAGACUCCUACGGGAGGCAGCAGUGGGGAAUCUUGCGCAAUGGGCGAAAGCUUGACGGAGCAAUACCGCGUGAGUGAUGAAGGUCUUCGGGUCGUAAAGCCCUUUUGUUGGGGAAGAAAAGAAGUAUGAGUAACUAUGCACGUCUUGACGGUACCUAAUCAGAAAGCAACGGCUAACUACGUG
RNAcentral lists this ribosomal RNA (497 nucleotides) under uncultured bacterium. RNAcentral's name for it is "partial 16S ribosomal RNA". It matches the Rfam family "Bacterial small subunit ribosomal RNA", at positions 28 to 507 of the family's 1533-position model. The record is from RNAcentral.